ACUUAUGUAGUUUAAACAAAAACAUUACAUUUUCACUGUAAAAACUAAAGUAAAACUUUCAUAAGUA
This 67-nucleotide transfer RNA is filed under the name Anacanthotermes sp. RNAcentral describes it as "tRNA-Glu". It matches the Rfam family "tRNA". From Rfam's summary of the family: Transfer RNA (tRNA) molecules are approximately 80 nucleotides in length. Their secondary structure includes four short double-helical elements and three loops (D, anti-codon, and T loops). Lineage: Eukaryota; Metazoa; Arthropoda; Insecta; Blattodea; Hodotermitidae. The record is from RNAcentral.